UAAUACGUAGGCAGCAAGCGUUGUUCGGAGUUACUGGGCGUAAAGGGUGUGUAGGCGGUUCACUAAGUUCGGUGUGAAAUCUCCCGGCUUAACUGGGAGGGUGCAUUGAAAACUGGUGGGCUUGAGUAUGGGAGAGGUAAGCGGAAUUCCUGGUGUAGCGGUGAAAUGCGUAGAUAUCAGGAGGAACACCUGUGGUGUAGACAGCUUACUGGACCAUCACUGACGCUGAAACACGAAAGCGUGGGUAGCAAACAGGAUUAGAUACCCUGGUAGUCCACGCCCUAAACGAUGCAUACUUGGUGUGAGCCAUUCAUUUGGUUCGUGCCGGAGCUAACGCGUUAAGUAUGCCGCCUGGGGAGUACGGUCGCAAGGCUG
This 375-nucleotide ribosomal RNA is filed under the name uncultured bacterium. RNAcentral's name for it is "bacterial SSU rRNA". It matches the Rfam family "Bacterial small subunit ribosomal RNA", at positions 521 to 896 of the family's 1533-position model. The record is from RNAcentral.